AGAACUUAGCAGAGAUGCUUUGGUGCCUUCGGGAACUCUGAGACAGGUGCUGCAUGGCUGUCGUCAGCUCGUGUUGUGAAAUGUUGGGUUAAGUCCCGCAACGAGCGCAACCCUUAUCCCUUUGUUGCCAGCGGUCCGGCCGGGAACUCAAAGGAGACUGCCAGUGAUAAACUGGAGGAAGGUGGGGAUGACGUCAAGUCAUCAUGGCCCUUACGAGUAGGGCUACACACGUGCUACAAUGGCGCAUACAAAGAGAAGCGACCUCGCGAGAGCAAGCGGACCUCAUAAAGUGCGUCGUAGUCCGGAUUGGAGUCUGCAACUCGACUCCAUGAAGUCGGAAUCGCUAGUAAUCGUAGAUCAGAAUGCUACGGUGAAUACGUUCCCGGGCCUUGUACACACCGCCCGUCACACCAUGGGAGUGGGUUGCAAAAGAAGUAGGUAGCUUAACCUUCGGGAGGGCGCUUACCACUUUGUGAUUCAUGACUGGGGUGAAGUCGUAACAAGGUAAGCGUAGCGAG
This 518-nucleotide ribosomal RNA is filed under the name uncultured bacterium. Its description in RNAcentral is "bacterial SSU rRNA". It matches the Rfam family "Bacterial small subunit ribosomal RNA", at positions 992 to 1509 of the family's 1533-position model. The record is from RNAcentral.